UAAGGAAUAUUGGUCAAUGGAGGCAACUCUGAACCAGCCAUGCCGCGUGAAGGAUUAAGGCCCUCUGGGUUGUAAACUUCUUUUAUAUGGGAAGAAAUGUUCUGAUUCUUCAGAGCUUGACGGUACCAUAGGAAUAAGCACCGGCUAACUCCGUGCCAGCAGCCGCGGUAAUACGGAGGGUGCAAGCGUUAUCCGGAUUCACUGGGUUUAAAGGGUGCGUAGGUGGGCAGAUAAGUCAGUGGUGAAAUCUUCCGGCUUAACCGGAAGAUUGCCGUUGAUACUAUUUGUCUUGAAUAUUGUGGAGGUAAGCGGAAUAUGUCAUGUAGCGGUGAAAUGCUUAGAUAUGACAUAGAACACCAAUUGCGAAGGCAGCUUACUAUAUAAUUAUUGACACUGAGGCACGAAAGCGUGGGUAGCGAACA
This 422-nucleotide ribosomal RNA is filed under the name uncultured bacterium. RNAcentral's name for it is "bacterial SSU rRNA". It matches the Rfam family "Bacterial small subunit ribosomal RNA", at positions 355 to 774 of the family's 1533-position model. The record is from RNAcentral.